CCCUUAGAUGUUCUGGGCUGCACGCGCGCUACACUGAUGCACUCAACGAGUUUACGACCUUGCCCGAUAGGGUUGGGUAAUCUUUUUAAAAUGCAUCGUGAUGGGGAUAGAUUAUUGCAAUUAUUAAUCUUCAACGAGGAAUUCCUAGUAAGCGCGAGUCAUCAGCUCGUGCUGAUUACGUCCCUGCCCUUUGUACACACCGUCCGUCGCUCCUACCGAUUGAGUGCUCAGGUGAAUAAUUCGGACUGCAGCAAUGUUUGGAUCCCGAACGUUGCAGCGGAAAGUUUAGUGAACCUUAUCACUUAGAGGAAGGAGAAGUCGUAACA
RNAcentral lists this ribosomal RNA (326 nucleotides) under uncultured eukaryote. RNAcentral's name for it is "partial 18S ribosomal RNA". It matches the Rfam family "Eukaryotic small subunit ribosomal RNA", at positions 1470 to 1796 of the family's 1831-position model. The record is from RNAcentral.